RNAcentral lists this ribosomal RNA (253 nucleotides) under uncultured bacterium. RNAcentral describes it as "partial 16S ribosomal RNA". It matches the Rfam family "Bacterial small subunit ribosomal RNA", at positions 524 to 776 of the family's 1533-position model. The record is from RNAcentral.
UACGGAGGGGACUAGCGUUGUUCGGAAUUACUGGGCGUAAAGCGCGCGUAGGCGGAUUUGCAAGUCGGGGGUGAAAGCCCGAGGCUCAACCUCGGAACUGCCUUCGAUACUGCAAAUCUCGAGUCCGAGAGAGGUGAGUGGAAUUCCUAGUGUAGAGGUGAAAUUCGUAGAUAUUCGGAAGAACACCAGUGGCGAAGGCGGCUCACUGGACCGGCAUUGACGCUGAGGUGCGAAAGCGUGGGGAGCAAACAGG